CCGCGACAGGAUGCGGGCGCCAUGGAUCGGCGUGUUGAGGUCACGUCGGCGGAUGGAUGCGCGGUUCGAAUCCGCGCCCCGGC
RNAcentral lists this transfer RNA (83 nucleotides) under Bifidobacterium pseudocatenulatum. Its description in RNAcentral is "tRNA-Leu(gag)". The record is from RNAcentral. Lineage: Bacteria; Bacillati; Actinomycetota; Actinomycetes; Bifidobacteriales; Bifidobacteriaceae. RNAcentral also lists the same sequence under 1 other name.